Molecule: non-coding RNA, 100 nt
Organism: Lyophyllum atratum
Lineage: Eukaryota; Fungi; Basidiomycota; Agaricomycetes; Agaricales; Lyophyllaceae
Source: the annotation of a GenBank genome assembly
ACACUGAUGGUGAAGUGGUUAUCAUGCUUGCCUUCCAUUCAGAAUCUUCGGAGCUGAACGUAUCCAGCAAGCGGCAGGGGUUCGAUUCCCCUUCAGUGUA